RNAcentral lists this small RNA (132 nucleotides) under Escherichia coli. RNAcentral describes it as "RtT sRNA". It matches the Rfam family "RtT RNA". Rfam says of the family: This family represents a bacterial cis-regulatory element known as RtT RNA. The exact function of RtT is unknown although it is thought that it may be involved in changing the cellular response in relation to amino acid starvation. RNAcentral also lists the same sequence under 2 other names. The record is from RNAcentral. Lineage: Bacteria; Pseudomonadati; Pseudomonadota; Gammaproteobacteria; Enterobacterales; Enterobacteriaceae.
AUUCUGCCCAAGCAGGGAAGGAUGAGAAGCUUCGACCAAGGUUCGACUUGAGCGCCAGCGAGAGAGCGUUGCCGCAGGCAACGACCCGAAGGGCGAAGCGCGCAGCGCUGAGUAAUCCUUCCCCCACCACCA